AAUUGCUUCAUUGUUGAGUUCUGGUGACAUCUAAGUGUUAUUGACCAAGUAGAUCUUAGCUGCAGCUUGCAGUAGCACCUUCCAUUUCGGGCCGGGCGUAGACAAGAAGCUCGACAGUUUUGCUUAGAGAUGUCACUUCCUCAGUUCCUCGUCUGUGUGUUUGGCCUCGAUGUGUUUUGGGUGAAAGAUAGCAAAUCCCUGGCAUCAAUAGUGAGCUCACCGAGCAACAAUGUCAGAUGUUUCUACAGUGCUGACAAGAUAAUUUUGAUAGGCAGUAAAAUAUCAUCAGCCAGCAUGCUGAGCCUAUCUCCAUCCUCAGCUUCCUAUAAUGAAACAUAUCAUCCGUUUAUAUAGUUUUGAAUGGAUUAACAGGCACAUUUCCCGAGCUUCUGAACAGUGUGAUUUUUGGUAAAACAAACUUUCUAUAUAUGAAUUUCUUGAACACAGUUUUAAAUCCAUUUAUUUCAACUUUGUAAUAUUUAAUUUAUUUGUUUGCACCUCCAAUAAUCAUCACAAAUCAUUUAUCUAUUUAGCCAUUCAGCACAAAAAACGAAGUAACAAUGUUGAAAUGAACUUUGCUGGGUUCUCUAAUAUGUUUGGCGGAUUCUUUGAACAAUAUACAUGGUAUUCUUUGUGUUUUUUAAUAGAACAGACUCAAUGCAUUCUCAUUUUACAUCUUGUGGAGAUUCUGCAGAAAGAUAGCAUAGGACAAAGACUCUUGGUGAUCAACAGGUGAUAGUAAGAUUGAUAUAGCAAAGCAUAUGCAAUACUACAAAAGAAAAGUUUAAAAUACUCACAGGACUGCAGUGUCUAUAACUCCAUGAAAAAUUUGAGAGGUGCCAGCCCCACUGAAGUUAUUGAGGUAACUCUGCAAGCUGAAAACUCAAUUAAUUAGUUUAAGUAGAUAUACGGGUGAGCCUUUACAAUAUAUCUGUAAUUAUGUUGAAAACUCAAUACAAAGUGUUAUUCCCUUCCCUCCCCAGCACCAGACAAACCCUUCCUAGUCUGUUCUUGCUUCUUCCUGUCAGGGGGGAUACCACAUGCCAAUCUACUAACCAUGCCAGUCACAGAUGCAGAAAAUCACCUGUUACCCUUCAGUAGAGGUAGCAUACAGAUCUGGAAAACCGACCAGACCUGUGUUAGUGAGGACUGAUCGGGAGGGAGCUUUGUUUUUCUUUUGGGUCCAAAAUGGAAUCCACUUGCAAUCAGCUGGACGCAAAAAAUCUCUUCAAAUUCCAUUCUUACAAGUUUCACAUGUAAUAAAUGUUGUAUGAUCUUUAAAUAGAAAGGACCAACGGCACACAUGGUACAUAUAACCCACAUGUCAUAUACAGUUCAAUGCUGUUAACUUCACUGUUAGUACUACAAACUAAGCAAUUUUAUUCCAAUUAGUAAACCCUUUGUAUGUACAUGGUCAGUACUUAAAUGUUUGCCCUUUCUAUGUUAAUCUGUUCUCCUAUGUGGUUCCAAAAGGAGUGAUCCCAUCCCCGCAUAGCUCCAUAGCAGUGUGAUAUUCCUUUUUAAAAGUUUAAACCAAUUAAGUAAUGAGAGAAUCAGCCUCCGC
Molecule: long non-coding RNA, 1564 nt
Filed under: Oryza brachyantha (malo sina)
Lineage: Eukaryota; Viridiplantae; Streptophyta; Magnoliopsida; Poales; Poaceae
Description: long non-coding RNA (OBRA_LNC000269)
Source: RNAcentral